This 747-nucleotide ribosomal RNA is filed under the name uncultured bacterium. RNAcentral's name for it is "bacterial SSU rRNA". It matches the Rfam family "Bacterial small subunit ribosomal RNA", at positions 8 to 746 of the family's 1533-position model. The record is from RNAcentral.
AGAGUUUGAUCCUGGCUCAGAUUGAACGCUGGCGGCAGGCCUAACACAUGCAAGUCGAGCGGUAGCACAGAGAGCUUGCUCUCGGGUGACGAGCGGCGGACGGGUGAGUAAUGUCUGGGAAACUGCCUGAUGGAGGGGGAUAACUACUGGAAACGGUAGCUAAUACCGCAUAACGUCGCAAGACCAAAGUGGGGGACCUUCGGGCCUCAUGCCAUCAGAUGUGCCCAGAUGGGAUUAGCUAGUAGGUGGGGUAAUGGCUCACCUAGGCGACGAUCCCUAGCUGGUCUGAGAGGAUGACCAGCCACACUGGAACUGAGACACGGUCCAGACUCCUACGGGAGGCAGCAGUGGGGAAUAUUGCACAAUGGGCGCAAGCCUGAUGCAGCCAUGCCGCGUGUAUGAAGAAGGCCUUCGGGUUGUAAAGUACUUUCAGCGAGGAGGAAGGCAUUAAGGUUAAUAACCUUAGUGAUUGACGUUACUCGCAGAAGAAGCACCGGCUAACUCCGUGCCAGCAGCCGCGGUAAUACGGAGGGUGCAAGCGUUAAUCGGAAUUACUGGGCGUAAAGCGCACGCAGGCGGUCUGUUAAGUCAGAUGUGAAAUCCCCGGGCUCAACCUGGGAACUGCAUUUGAAACUGGCAGGCUUGAGUCUUGUAGAGGGGGGUAGAAUUCCAGGUGUAGCGGUGAAAUGCGUAGAGAUCUGGAGGAAUACCGGUGGCGAAGGCGGCCCCCUGGACAAAGACUGACGC